Long non-coding RNA from Amphibalanus amphitrite, 878 nucleotides. RefSeq lists it as uncharacterized. The transcript has 4 exons. NCBI's taxonomy places the organism in Eukaryota, Metazoa, Arthropoda, Thecostraca, Balanomorpha, Balanidae. The record is from RefSeq and is a predicted model, not a curated record.
GAAGUGCACUAUUCAAGACAAGAGAUGAAGAUCGUGCUCUUGGUGGUACUCGUUAUUGGCUGCACGCUGUUGUUCACCAUGACGCCACUGGCUGAGGCGGCGGCCCAGCGUUCCCCGUACACCGGGCCCACCAGCUUCCAGGCCCGGCCGCACUGCACGUGCAAGACCUGCUGCAACACCUGCGCCCUGCAGUGCCGUCAGUGCUGCUUCCGCGGCUCCCAGCGUGAGGUCGCCGGAUGAGCGCUGAAGCUGGAGAUCGGACCACAGCAUCAGUGGGACAAAGUGAUUUUUGGCUGGCUUUAAAUUACCGGGAUCAUUACUGCACGAGCAACCUCUGAGGUCGGCAGGCGGGAUCGACGGUGAAGCGUCUUGAGUCGGAGAGGAUAGCAAGAAAAAAUGAGGACAGUGGUGAUCAUGCUGCUGGCGGCGGGCUGCCUGCUGCUGCUGAUGUCUGCCCUGCCCGCCCUGACGUCUGCCGCCGCUGCGCCGCGGGCCGCCCACCCCCUCCUGGCCCCGGAGGGCGGGGGUGGCUGCUGUGACCAGUGCUGCCCCACCUGCAAGCGGUCCUGCUACUACUGCUGCUACGUCUGACGAACUUUGUCGUGAAAUCAUCGUAACAGGCAGCUAAAAACAAGCGGUAGAUCGGGCAGACUUCAGACCGUUGACGCUGCCGGCAAUCCGCUCGUGUUUAAAUGAUAAGCAACUAAUUGGUUGACCGAUGGUGCGUACUGCGUUGCAUCAGCGUUCUUUUAUUACAAUCGAGUUAUUCGAUACGUGUGUCUGUAUUUGUUAUGUGCGACCGCCCUGUGACCGUCCUAAUAUUUUUUGUGUCUAAGGACUAUACUGAAUAUCAAAUAAAUUAUUGCUUGUUAAAAGUA